GGUUCCGUAACUCAGAGGAAGAGUGCAAUCUUUACGCGAUUGAAGUCGGGAUUUCGAAAUUCCCCGGAACCAC
This 73-nucleotide transfer RNA is filed under the name compost metagenome. RNAcentral describes it as "tRNA-Val". The record is from RNAcentral.